RNAcentral lists this ribosomal RNA (487 nucleotides) under Streptococcus sp. oral taxon 070. RNAcentral describes it as "bacterial SSU rRNA". It matches the Rfam family "Bacterial small subunit ribosomal RNA", at positions 28 to 500 of the family's 1533-position model. Lineage: Bacteria; Bacillati; Bacillota; Bacilli; Lactobacillales; Streptococcaceae. The record is from RNAcentral.
GACGAACGCUGCGGCGUGCUUAAUACAACAAGUAGAACGCUGAAGCUUGGUGCUUGCACCGAGCGGAUGAGUUGCGAACGGGUGAGUAACGCGUAGGUAACCUGCCUGGUAGCGGGGGAUAACUAUUGGAAACGAUAGCUAAUACCGCAUAAAAUGGAUUAUCGCAUGAUAAUCCAUUGAAAGGUGCAAAUGCAUCACUACCAGAUGGACCUGCGUUGUAUUAGCUAGUUGGUGGGGUAACGGCUCACCAAGGCGACGAUACAUAGCCGACCUGAGAGGGUGAUCGGCCACACUGGGACUGAGACACGGCCCAGACUCCUACGGGAGGCAGCAGUAGGGAAUCUUCGGCAAUGGACGGAAGUCUGACCGAGCAACGCCGCGUGAGUGAAGAAGGUUUUCGGAUCGUAAAGCUCUGUUGUAAGAGAAGAACGAGUGUGAGAGUGGAAAGUUCACACUGUGACGGUAUCUUACCAGAAAGGACGGCUAA